CACAAGCGGUGGAGCAUGUGGUUUAAUUNGAAGCAACGCGAAGAACCUUACCAAAUCUUGACAUCNUCUGACCCCUCUAGAGAUAGAGUUUUCCCCUUCGGGGGACAGAGUGACAGGUGGUGCAUGGUUGUCGUCAGCUCGUGUCGUGAGAUGUUGGGUUAAGUCCCGCAACGAGCGCAACCCUUAAGCUUAGUUGCCAUCAUUAAGUUGGGCACUCUAAGUUGACUGCCGGCGACAAACCGGAGGAAGGUGGGGAUGACGUCAAAUCAUCAUGCCCCUUAUGAUUUGGGCUACACACGUGCUACAAUGGACAAUACAAAGGGUAGCGAAACCGCGAGGUCAAGCAAAUCCCAUAAAGUUGUUCUCAGUUCGGAUUGUAGUCUGCAACUCGACUAUAUGAAGCUGGAAUCGCUAGUAAUCGUAGAUCAGCAUGCUACGGUGAAUACGUUCCCGGGUCUUGUACACACCGCCCGUCACACCACGAGAGUUUGUAACACCCGA
Molecule: ribosomal RNA, 501 nt
Filed under: uncultured organism
Description: bacterial SSU rRNA
Rfam family: Bacterial small subunit ribosomal RNA
Source: RNAcentral